AUCCCAAUAGCUCAGCUGGACAGAGCACGGCGCUACGAACGCCGGGGUCCCCGGUUCGAAUCCGGGUUGGGGUG
This 74-nucleotide transfer RNA is filed under the name Umezawaea tangerina. It matches the Rfam family "tRNA". Rfam says of the family: Transfer RNA (tRNA) molecules are approximately 80 nucleotides in length. The record is from Rfam by way of RNAcentral. Lineage: Bacteria; Bacillati; Actinomycetota; Actinomycetes; Pseudonocardiales; Pseudonocardiaceae. RNAcentral also lists the same sequence under 1 other name.